RNAcentral lists this non-coding RNA (91 nucleotides) under Porphyromonas asaccharolytica PR426713P-I. The record is from RNAcentral. Lineage: Bacteria; Pseudomonadati; Bacteroidota; Bacteroidia; Bacteroidales; Porphyromonadaceae.
AACCGCCGUAUGCCGAACGGCACGUACGGUGGUGUGAGAGGGAAGGAAACGAAAGUAGGUCAGAAAACUUUCGUUUCCCGACCUACUCGAU